This 468-nucleotide ribosomal RNA is filed under the name uncultured bacterium. Its description in RNAcentral is "partial 16S ribosomal RNA". It matches the Rfam family "Bacterial small subunit ribosomal RNA", at positions 28 to 507 of the family's 1533-position model. The record is from RNAcentral.
GACGAACGCUGGCGGCGUGCUUAACACAUGCAAGUCGAACGGAAAGGCCCUGCUUUUGUGGGGGUCUCGAGUGGCGAACGGGUGAGUAACACGUGAGUAACCUGCCCGUGGCUUGGGGAUAACUUCAGGAAACUGGGGCUAAUACCGGAUAGGAGCUCGGGCUGCAGGGUGGGGGUUGGAAAGUUUCGGCGGUUGGGGAUGGACUGGCGGCUUAUCAGCUUGUGGGUGGGGUAGUGGCUUACCAAGGCUUUGACGGGUAGCCGGCCUGAGAGCGUGACCGGCCACAUUGGGACUGCGAUACGGCCCAGACUCGUACGGGGGGCAGCAGUGGAGAAUAUUGCACAAUGGGCGGAAGCCUGAUGCAGCAACGCCGCGUGCGGGAUGACGGCCUUCGGGUUGUAAACCGCUUUAGCCUGUGACGAAGCGUGAGUGACGGUAAUGGGUAAAGAAGCACCGGCUAACUACGUG